Non-coding RNA from Cricetulus griseus (Chinese hamster), 927 nucleotides. The record is from RefSeq and is a predicted model, not a curated record. NCBI's taxonomy places the organism in Eukaryota, Metazoa, Chordata, Mammalia, Rodentia, Cricetidae.
UACCCCUUCCUUCUUCCCUCCUUUCCUUACUGCCCCUUCUCUUCUCUCCCGUCCUUCCCUCUCCCCUCCCAUCCUGUCAUCUUCCUCCUCACUCUCUGCUUGUUACUUGGUGAUAUAAAUGAAAUUUCAGUGUGAUUCCAAAAUCUACCUGUCUUCCUGUGCCAUAGAAAGUCUAUCCCACUGUCUGAGAAUGGAGAUAUACUAUAGAAAAUUGAAUUUCUAGAAUCUUAAGAGCUCUCUUAUGUUAGCUCCUGGAAGUUAAAUGCUCUCCUUUCAAAGGACCUGCCGAUUCCUUUUGACUCUCAUGACAUCAGCCACAUUUAUGGCUCACUGAUGCAAGUUGAGUGGACGAUUUAUUCACCAUCUUCUUGAAGCUAUUGUGGAGACAUGGUGCUUGCAUAGCAUUGGACAAACACACAGAUGAAAUUAUGUACUAUUGGGGAAUUCAUUGACCCUGUUGCUGCUGACAUACUCUGUUCAUUGACCUUCCAAUGUGGACUGAAGACCAGGAAUCCUUCAAGCCUUUGCACCAGGUUGGGACCACCAAGGCAUCAAGCUUUGUGGACUAAGCAUCUGUGGGUUCUCAGCCUCUCCAGCACGAAGAUGGCCAGGUUGGACUAUCUAGUCUGCAUUGCUGGCCUGAGAUGCCGGGACUCUGUACACUUCAACUGCACCAUUUUACCAACUAAGCAUCUCUGGAACUCACUCAUCUGCCUGUUUGCUACAAUCCGGCUUUUUAUAACAGAGAGAUAGGCCAGCUGCUGGUUCCACCCCAUUUCCACCAAGAAGACUGAUGGGCACUGAAGAAGCUUCAUCUUGAGUCAAUGACAACACUAGUCACUGAGCAACCCUGCCCUUCACCUCAACUGCUACAAAGUAUUCCAGACUGUGGACAAGAGGACAGUGGAAUCGACUUUCCCUGUGUUG